CAGCCGCCACGGUAAUACGUAGGUGGCAAGCGUUGUCCGGAAUUAUUGGGCGUAAAGGGCUCGCAGGCGGUUUCUUAAGUCUGAUGUGAAAGCCCCCGGCUCAACCGGGGAGGGUCAUUGGAAACUGGGAAACUUGAGUGCAGAAGAGGAGAGUGGAAUUCCACGUGUAGCGGUGAAAUGCGUAGAGAUGUGGAGGAACACCAGUGGCGAAGGCGACUCUCUGGUCUGUAACUGACGCUGAGGAGCGAAAGCGUGGGGAGCAAACAGGAUUAGAUACCCCCGUAGUCCCUGUCUCUUAUAC
Molecule: ribosomal RNA, 301 nt
Filed under: uncultured bacterium
Lineage: Bacteria
Description: partial 16S ribosomal RNA
Rfam family: Bacterial small subunit ribosomal RNA
Source: RNAcentral